GUGGGGAAUAUUGCACAAUGGGCGCAAGCCUGAUGCAGCAACGCCGCGUGAGGGACGACGGCCUUCGGGUUGUAAACCUCUUUUAGCAGGGAAGAAGCGAAAGUGACGGUACCUGCAGAAAAAGCACCGGCUAACUACGUGCCAGCAGCCGCGGUAAUACGUAGGGUGCAAGCGUUGUCCGGAAUUAUUGGGCGUAAAGAGCUCGUAGGCGGUUUGUCGCGUUUGCUGUGAAAACCCGAGGCUCAACCUCGGGCCUGCAGUGGGUACGGGCAGACUAGAGUGCGGUAGGGGAGAUUGGAAUUCCGGGUGUAGCGGUGGAAUGCGCAGAUAUCAGGAGGAACACCGAUGGCGAAGGCAGAUCUCUGGGCCGUAACUGACGCUGAGGAGCGAAAGCGUGGGGAGCGAACAGGAUUAGAAACCCGUGUAGUCC
RNAcentral lists this ribosomal RNA (430 nucleotides) under uncultured bacterium. RNAcentral's name for it is "bacterial SSU rRNA". It matches the Rfam family "Bacterial small subunit ribosomal RNA", at positions 354 to 796 of the family's 1533-position model. The record is from RNAcentral.